AUUGAACGCUGGCGGCAGGCCUAACACAUGCAAGUCGAGCGGAUGAAGGGAGCUUGCUCCUUGAUUCAGCGGCGGACGGGUGAGUAAUGCCUAGGAAUCUGCCUGGUAGUGGGGGAUAACGUCCGGAAACGGGCGCUAAUACCGCAUACGUCCUGAGGGAGAAAGUGGGGGAUCUUCGGACCUCACGCUAUCAGAUGAGCCUAGGUCGGAUUAGCUAGUUGGUGGGGUAAAGGCCUACCAAGGCGACGAUCCGUAACUGGUCUGAGAGGAUGAUCAGUCACACUGGAACUGAGACACGGUCCAGACGCCUACGGGAGGCAGCAGUGGGGAAUAUUGGACAAUGGGCGAAAGCCUGAUCCAGCCAUGCCGCGUGUGUGAAGAAGGUCUUCGGAUUGUAAAGCACUUUAAGUUGGGAGGAAGGGCAGUAAGUUAAUACCUUGCUGUUUUGACGUUACCAACAGAAUAAGCACCGGCUAACUUCGUG
RNAcentral lists this ribosomal RNA (484 nucleotides) under uncultured bacterium. Its description in RNAcentral is "partial 16S ribosomal RNA". It matches the Rfam family "Bacterial small subunit ribosomal RNA", at positions 30 to 507 of the family's 1533-position model. The record is from RNAcentral.